GGAAACCCAAACCAAGGAGAACUCAGGAGAAUUGGCGCUCUUCGGUCCUGGAGGUUCCGCAGCUAACAUCCCGGCUUGACCAACUAUCGAGGCCGCAAAUUAAUAGGGCACCUCCUGGGAGGAAAACGCCCAUCCUGACUUCUCAACUGUGACAGUUUGAUCUGUCGCCCAGGAUGGAGUGCAGUGCAGUGGCGCGAUCCUGCAACCUCCGCCUCUCGAGUUCAAGCGAUUCUCCUGCCUCAGCCUCCCGAGUAGCUGGGAUUACAGACGCGCGCCACCCCACCCAGAUGAUCUUUUUAAAUGCAAAAUGCCAUCGACGCAGAAAAUCAAAGAAUCAGCUUAAGUUCCAGAAAAAAGAAAAACCAACCAAAUGAACAAUAAGACAACAACAACAACAACAAAAAAGGCCUUUUGGGAUUUUGGAUGGUAUUGCAUCAAAUCCAUACAUUAACCUGAGAGACGAGAGACUUCUUCAACAUUGAGCCUUCCAAUCAUGAUUUUCAAUUCAUUUAGGUCUUCUGUAAUGUUUCUUAAUAUAAUUGUAUUUGUUGCUAUGCAGAAGUUUCACUGAUCUUUUAUUAUAUCUCUCUAUAUAUUUGAUAUUUCUGACACUAUUGUAAAUAGUAUCUUUUUAAUAUUUCAUUUUCCUUUUUUGUUGCUUAAAUAUAUAUAAAAUAAGCUAAUUUUUCCAAACUAAUUUUUAUAUCCAGCAACCCUGCUAAAAUUUCUUAUCCAAUAAAAAUAUAAAUGUA
This 752-nucleotide non-coding RNA is filed under the name Pan troglodytes (chimpanzee). Lineage: Eukaryota; Metazoa; Chordata; Mammalia; Primates; Hominidae. The record is from RNAcentral.